UAAAAAUUUAUUUAUUUUAGGUAGUAACAGAUUUCUUGAAACCUAAAGAAUUUGGCGGUAUUUUAAAUAAUUAGAGGAACCUGUUAUAUAAAUGAUAAUCCACAACAUAUCUUACCUUAAUUAAGUUUGUAUACCGUUGUUUUUAGAUUAUGUUUAUAAAUUAUGAUCAAAAUUAAUUAAUUUUUAUAAAUCAAAUCAAGGUGCAGCAUAUUUAGGUUUUAAUGGGUUACAAUAUAUUUAUAUAUACGAAUAAAUAAUGAAAAUGUUUUGGAAGGUGGAUUUAAAAGUAAUUUAAAAUUAAAAUGUUUAAAUGAAUAAAAAUUUAAAAUAUGC
Molecule: ribosomal RNA, 333 nt
Filed under: Brachistosternus titicaca
Lineage: Eukaryota; Metazoa; Arthropoda; Arachnida; Scorpiones; Bothriuridae
Description: partial 12S small subunit ribosomal RNA
Source: RNAcentral